This is a small nucleolar RNA of Hibiscus syriacus, 108 nucleotides long. The record is from RefSeq and is a predicted model, not a curated record. NCBI's taxonomy places the organism in Eukaryota, Viridiplantae, Streptophyta, Magnoliopsida, Malvales, Malvaceae.
AACCCAUGCAUAGGACACUUUCACAAAAAAAUCCUUGAAUAUUUCCCAUACUUCAUUCAAGCUUUCAUCAUCCAUAUGCUUCAAUGAGGUUAAGUCAUUUCUAAGCUU